This 245-nucleotide ribosomal RNA is filed under the name uncultured bacterium. Its description in RNAcentral is "partial 16S ribosomal RNA". It matches the Rfam family "Bacterial small subunit ribosomal RNA", at positions 527 to 771 of the family's 1533-position model. The record is from RNAcentral.
GUAGGGGGCGAGCGUUAUCCGGAUUUACUGGGUGUAAAGGGAGCGCAGGCGGUACGGCGAGUCUGAUGUGAAAACCCGGGGCCCAACCCCGGGACCGCACCGGAUACUGCCGGACUCGAGUGCCGGAGGGGCAGGCGGAAUUCCUGGUGUAGCGGUGAAAUGCGCAGAUAUCAGGAGGAACACCGGUGGCGAAGGCGGCCUGCUGGACGGUAACUGACGCUGAGGCUCGAAAGCGUGGGGAGCGA